GUACUCCCAUGCCCCCCCACGUCCCGGGGUAAUACUUGCGGCAUGGGCGAGGAAAAAGGGUGCGUUGUCAUCAGGCUCAAGGGUGGAAGUCUACGGCCCCUCCGCUUCCUCACGAACAUAGGGCCCGGAGGUGAGAGCCCAGCUGUAUGUCUCUUGGUUGGUGCAGUAAGGUUUCAAGGCGUCAAGAAAAAAUAAGUCAUCCCGUUCAUGGCAUGGUUCACGAGGUCAUAGUCCCGG
Pelobates cultripes (western spadefoot toad) is the source of this 237-nucleotide non-coding RNA. The record is from the annotation of a GenBank genome assembly. Lineage: Eukaryota; Metazoa; Chordata; Amphibia; Anura; Pelobatidae.